Molecule: long non-coding RNA, 378 nt
Organism: Poeciliopsis prolifica (blackstripe livebearer)
Lineage: Eukaryota; Metazoa; Chordata; Actinopteri; Cyprinodontiformes; Poeciliidae
Exons: 3
Source: RefSeq, a predicted model, not a curated record
UAGCACAGCUAACUUUUCCGUUAGCAGUACCACCACUGCGUAUAGGAAUCAAACAGGAAGGACAUGACUGCGAAUUAUCAUGUCGACGAAACAAAGAAAGCUGGAAAAAGUACAAAGAUGCUGAAAGGGUUACACUCCCUCCUCACCAUUCCAUCCCAUCGUUUCCAUGCAGAAAAGCAGAGGCAGAUUGCUACAGCACUCUGCUCCCUCCACACACAGCGUGCCGUCAGCUGGCAGACGGAGGAAGAAAGGGGGGGGAAAUGCUCACUGAAUGGAAGAUCCACCCAGCCUCGUCGGGCAGCUGAUGGCUUGUGUUCACACUGAAAACAAGCGAAUGCUGACAGAAAAUGCAAGCAGCCUUCUUACCUUCUCUUCUCU